CACGCACUUCACCGGAUCACCUCCACCAUGGCGGCGAGAGUAGAUCCGACGAUCGAGGUGAAGGUAUUCGUGGACAGGGAGAGGAGCAGGGUGAUCUUCGCGGAGUCCGGCAAGGAGUUCGUCGACGUGCUGUUGGGCUUCCUCACGCUGCCUCUCGGCACCGUCGUUCGCCUCCUCGGCAAGCAGUCCCAGGUCGGAUGCCUCGACGAGAUCUACAAGAGCGUGAAGGGACUCCCCGCCGAUUUCUUCAGAACUGAAGCCUGCAAGGCGAUGCUGCUCAAGCCCAUCAACGCUGCGGCGCAGCAAUGCUGCCAACUCAGUGUCAGAGUCGACGGCACCAAGCGCGACGGGGAGAGGCCGGAGAGCUCUGCUGCAGCUGCUGCUGGUUCCGACGCCGGGGUUUUUGUCAAAGGCGACGUGAAGUUCAUCGUCACCGAUGAUUUCCUUGUGGCACCGGCAUCGACGUCUCUCAUGUUGACCCUUUUCGACAGGUUUGACGUGCAGGAUCCCUCCAGUCUAGAGCAGAGGACUCUCCACCUUAGUUCAGACAAGAUGAUUAGCCUGCUUAAGAGAUCAUUAACGUCCAAGAACGCUUUAACUGCUCACUACUUCGAUUCUGCUAUCGCGGCCGAUGAUUCCGCCAUUGAUAUUCUCACCGAGAACGUGUAUCUUGAACGAGGAAAUGAUGCCGAUCCCAGCCUGAACGAUGUCAAGAUAAAGGUUCUUCAGACGAAGAACAACUCAUCGGUGCUGUAUGCAGAAGUUGGUGCCAAUUUUGUGGACCUUCUUUUUGGCCUACUAUGCAUACCACUAGGAUCCAUCAUGAAGACAUAUGGUAAGUGCGCAUCAAAAGGAUGUGUUGACAAUCUGUACGGCAGCAUAGAUGGCAAUGCUCAGGAAUGCAUGAGAUCAGAAUGCCGGAUCUCGCUACUGUCCCCAAAGUUGGCACCCUUCUUUGGUUGCAGUACUAGUAAGUUGCUACAAGUUGAAGAACAGGAUCCAGGUAAGGAAGCUAACUGCAUAUAUACUGAUUAUUUU
RNAcentral lists this ribosomal RNA (1038 nucleotides) under Triticum aestivum (bread wheat). RNAcentral describes it as "partial small subunit ribosomal RNA". Lineage: Eukaryota; Viridiplantae; Streptophyta; Magnoliopsida; Poales; Poaceae. The record is from RNAcentral.